CAGACGGGUGGCAGCAGUGAGGAAUAUUGGUCAAUGGCCGUAAGGCUGAACCAGCCAAGUAGCGUGAGGGAAGACUGCCCUAUGGGUUGUAAACCUCUUUUAUGCGGGGAUAAAGGUGUCCACGUGUGGAUGUUUGCAGGUACCGCAUGAAUAAGGACCGGCUAAUUCCGUGCCAGCAGCCGCGGGAAUACGGAGGGUCCGGGCGUUAUCCGGAUUUAUUGGGUUUAAAGGGAGCGUAGGCCGGUCUUUAAGCGAGCCGUGAAAUUUUGUGGCUCAACCAUGAGAGUGCGGCGCGAACUGGGGACCUUGAGUGCGCGAGAGGCAGGCGGAAUGCGUGGUGUAGCGGUGAAAUGCUUAGAUAUCACGAAGAACCCCGAUUGCGAAGGCAGCCUGCCGCAGCGUUACUGACGCUGAGGCUCGAAAGCGCGGGUAUCGAACAGGAUUAGAUACCCCUGUAGUC
RNAcentral lists this ribosomal RNA (460 nucleotides) under uncultured bacterium. RNAcentral describes it as "partial 16S ribosomal RNA". It matches the Rfam family "Bacterial small subunit ribosomal RNA", at positions 338 to 795 of the family's 1533-position model. The record is from RNAcentral.